GGGUUGUGAGGUUAAGCGACUAAGCGUACACGGUGGAUGCCCUGGCAGUCAGAGGCGAUGAAGGGCGUGCUAAUCUGCGAUAAGCGCCGGUAAGGUGAUAUGAACCGUUAUAACCGGCGAUACCCGAAUGGGGAAACCCAGUGUGAUUCGUCACACUAUCAUUAACUGAAUCCAUAGGUUAAUGAGGCGAACCGGGGGAACUGAAACAUCUAAGUACCCCGAGGAAAAGAAAUCAACCGAGAUUCCCCCAGUAGCGGCGAGCGAACGGGGAGGAGCCCAGAGCCUGAAUCAGCAUGUGUGUUAGUGGAAGCGUCUGGAAAGUCGCGCGAUACAGGGUGACAGCCCCGUACACAAAAGCGCAUGUGUUGUGAGCUCGAUGAGUAGGGCGGGACACGUGGUAUCCUGUCUGAAUAUGGGGGGACCAUCCUCCAAGGCUAAAUACUCCUGACUGACCGAUAGUGAACCAGUACCGUGAGGGAAAGGCGAAAAGAACCCCGGCGAGGGGAGUGAAAAAGAACCUGAAACCGUGUACGUACAAGCAGUGGGAGCCCCACCACCAAAGCAUUCUCUGGUGUUGAAGGCCCUGCAAAGCAGCAUCGCGGUGGCGGAGCGUCGUUUGCGACGCCCAACACACAAAACAAGCGGUGAGUGCUUUGGGGUGGGGUGACUGCGUACCUUUUGUAUAAUGGGUCAGCGACUUAUAUUCUGUAGCAAGGUUAACCGUAUAGGGGAGCCGGAGGGAAACCGAGUCUUAAUUGGGCGUUAAGUUGCAGGGUAUAGACCCGAAACCCGGUGAUCUAGCCAUGGGCAGGUUGAAGGUUGGGUAACACUAACUGGAGGACCGAACCGACUAAUGUUGAAAAAUUAGCGGAUGACCUGUGGCUGGGGGUGAAAGGCCAAUCAAACCGGGAGAUAGCUGGUUCUCCCCGAAAGCUAUUUAGGUAGCGCCUCGUGAAUUCAUCUCCGGGGGUAGAGCACUGUUUCGGCUAGGGGGCCAUCCCGGCUUACCAACCCGAUGCAAACUGCGAAUACCGGAGAAUGUUAUCACGGGAGACACACGGCGGGUGCUAACGUCCGUCGUGAAGAGGGAAACAACCCAGACCGCCAGCUAAGGUCCCAAAGUCAUGGUUAAGUGGGAAACGAUGUGGGAAGGCCCAGACAGCCAGGAUGUUGGCUUAGAAGCAGCCAUCAUUUAAAGAAAGCGUAAUAGCUCACUGGUCGAGUCGGCCUGCGCGGAAGAUGUAACGGGGCUAAACCAUGCACCGAAGCUGCGGCAGCGACACUGUGUGUUGUUGGGUAGGGGAGCGUUCUGUAAGCCUGUGAAGGUGUGUCGUGAGGCAUGCUGGAGGUAUCAGAAGUGCGAAUGCUGACAUAAGUAACGAUAAAGCGGGUGAAAAGCCCGCUCGCCGGAAGACCAAGGGUUCCUGUCCAACGUUAAUCGGGGCAGGGUGAGUCGACCCCUAAGGCGAGGCCGAAAGGCGUAGUCGAUGGGAAACGGGUUAAUAUUCCCGUACUUGGUGUUACUGCGAAGGGGGGACGGAGAAGGCUAUGUUGGCCGGGCGACGGUUGUCCCGGUUUAAGCGUGUAGGUGUGUGUUCCAGGUAAAUCCGGUUCACUUUAACACUGAGGCGUGACGACGAGGCACUACGGUGCUGAAGCAACAAAUGCCCUGCUUCCAGGAAAAGCCUCUAAGCAUCAGGUAACAUCAAAUCGUACCCCAAACCGACACAGGUGGUCAGGUAGAGAAUACCAAGGCGCUUGAGAGAACUCGGGUGAAGGAACUAGGCAAAAUGGUGCCGUAACUUCGGGAGAAGGCACGCUGACACGUAGGUGAAGUGAUUUACUCAUGGAGCUGAAGUCAGUCGAAGAUACCAGCUGGCUGCAACUGUUUAUUAAAAACACAGCACUGUGCAAACACGAAAGUGGACGUAUACGGUGUGACGCCUGCCCGGUGCCGGAAGGUUAAUUGAUGGGGUCAGCGCAAGCGAAGCUCCUGAUCGAAGCCCCGGUAAACGGCGGCCGUAACUAUAACGGUCCUAAGGUAGCGAAAUUCCUUGUCGGGUAAGUUCCGACCUGCACGAAUGGCGUAAUGAUGGCCAGGCUGUCUCCACCCGAGACUCAGUGAAAUUGAACUCGCUGUGAAGAUGCAGUGUACCCGCGGCAAGACGGAAAGACCCCGUGAACCUUUACUAUAGCUUGACACUGAACAUUGAGCCUUGAUGUGUAGGAUAGGUGGGAGGCUUUGAAGUGUGGACGCCAGUCUGCAUGGAGCCGACCUUGAAAUACCACCCUUUAAUGUUUGAUGUUCUAACGUGGACCCGUUACCCGGGUUGCGGACAGUGUCUGGUGGGUAGUUUGACUGGGGCGGUCUCCUCCUAAAGAGUAACGGAGGAGCACGAAGGUUGGCUAAUCCUGGUCGGACAUCAGGAGGUUAGUGCAAUGGCAUAAGCCAGCUUGACUGCGAGCGUGACGGCGCGAGCAGGUGCGAAAGCAGGUCAUAGUGAUCCGGUGGUUCUGAAUGGAAGGGCCAUCGCUCAACGGAUAAAAGGUACUCCGGGGAUAACAGGCUGAUACCGCCCAAGAGUUCAUAUCGACGGCGGUGUUUGGCACCUCGAUGUCGGCUCAUCACAUCCUGGGGCUGAAGUAGGUCCCAAGGGUAUGGCUGUUCGCCAUUUAAAGUGGUACGCGAGCUGGGUUUAGAACGUCGUGAGACAGUUCGGUCCCUAUCUGCCGUGGGCGCUGGAGAACUGAGGGGGGCUGCUCCUAGUACGAGAGGACCGGAGUGGACGCAUCACUGGUGUUCGGGUUGUCAUGCCAAUGGCACUGCCCGGUAGCUAAAUGCGGAAGAGAUAAGUGCUGAAAGCAUCUAAGCACGAAACUUGCCCCGAGAUGAGUUCUCCCUGAGACUUAGAGUCUCCUGAAGGAACGUUGAAGACGACGACGUUGAUAGGCCGGGUGUGUAAGCGCAGCGAUGCGUUGAGCUAACCGGUACUAAUGAACCGUGAGGCUUAACCUUACAACGCCGAAG
Molecule: ribosomal RNA, 3028 nt
Filed under: Salmonella enterica subsp. enterica serovar Blockley
Lineage: Bacteria; Pseudomonadati; Pseudomonadota; Gammaproteobacteria; Enterobacterales; Enterobacteriaceae
Description: 23S ribosomal RNA
Rfam family: Bacterial large subunit ribosomal RNA
Source: RNAcentral